This is a long non-coding RNA of Vigna angularis (adzuki bean), 1106 nucleotides long. RefSeq lists it as uncharacterized. The transcript is spliced from 3 exons. NCBI's taxonomy places the organism in Eukaryota, Viridiplantae, Streptophyta, Magnoliopsida, Fabales, Fabaceae. The record is from RefSeq and is a predicted model, not a curated record.
CUCUCCAUUGUCUUCACACUUACCAUUUCCUUAUGUAUAUGUGGGUCUGCCUUGGGUUUUUGAUUUUGCAGGUUUCCAUAGAAGCUCGAAGAAGAUGAAGGUGCUAGAGGCGUCGUUUGCAGUGGCUUACAUGGAAGAGUUGUAGUGGUCCGACGACGUGGAGAAACUAGCGAUUAAGGUUCUAAUUUUGUCUCGCGGUGGCUUGUGGUGGUGAAAAUGUUGGGUGAAGUCGCGAUUGGUUUAUAUUGCUUGUUGGUGGAGCAAAUGCAAUACCGGUGAAGGAACUGAGGAAGCUCAACAAAUUCUCUAUAUUCUUGAUGUCUUGAAAGAUAUGUUAAAAUAAGAAGAUGGAGAUGGAGGUCCUUUGAUUUGUGUUAUCAAUGAUGCUGAUUUAAUGCAUUGCAAAGGUUGAUGGAAAGCAAGCUUAUGCAAUUCACUUGGAAGCACCCCUUGAGCAAGCAUAAAAGUGGAAAAAUAGAAGUCCCAAAGUACCAAAGUCCCUGCGAAUAUAGGAUGCUCAUGUUGGAAUUAGUGGUUCUGAACCCAAAAUAUCCUCAUUCAAUGAUUUCACAGACAAGGUUUCCCCCAUUUCUUUUGGUUGGAAUUUAUAAUUAUUCCAUUAUACAUAUCUUCCAUGUCUAUAUUUGUAAUUGGUUCUGUUGAUUUUCUAUUGUUGCAAAAUAUUCUCAAUAAACAAUGCAGGUUCUUCCUUACAUUAAGGAAGCUGGAUACAAUGUCAUCCAACUGAUUGUAAUUAUUGAACAUAAGGAUUAUUUUACUGUUGGUUACAGAGUAAGUUAAUGUUGUAAUUCUUAUUUUUCUCAUGGUAAUUACAGAGUGAUUAAGAUUCUUUAUUUUAAGUUAUGUGUAUGAAUUGUACAAAAGGCAUACAUGUUUUUUUUUAAGUCUUGACACUGACACAAACUAUGUGCACACCUUGUACAUGCUGGCAUGCUGCUUAUAGUUGUUUAUAAGUUUUGCUAGAAUUUUAUUACCACUCUGACCUUUAGUGACAUGCUCAAACAUUGAUUCAAUGGUGCAGGUUACAAAUUAUUUUGCUGUUAGUAGCAUAUAUGGUACUCUUGAGGAUUUCAAGCGAUUAGUUG